AAGAUGGAGUAGUCCCGAAUAAUAAUAAUAAUUUUAUUUUAAAGAAUUGUAGUUAUGAUGGACGAGUUUCGCGGAAGUUGCUGAAAUUGGCGUUACCGUUAUUGAAUGCUCAUAUUUAUCGGUUGAUAAAUUUACAAAGAGCCAUCGGACAUUGUAGAUGCGAUAAAUGACGCAGGUAUGCAACAAGUAAACUACUACAUAUACUCGUACUACUGUCGACGUCUGUUUGAAUACGAUGACGUCACAGCAAUAUGACGCAUGUCCUCCCAUCACAUAUCUCAGUACCAGCAUUGAGAUCCGUACUACACUGUUGAAUGACAUUACUUCGACGAGUCAAUGGAUAGAGAAUAAUAACGAUAGUUAAUUUAAAGACAUAACACCAGUAAAACACGUUUUAAAUGUAAGUUUAAUAAAUAGACAUGAGUAAAUGAUUAAAAAAAAAAAAAAAAAACUAAGAGAACAAAAAGGAAAAAAGAAAGAGCUAACAAAGAAUAAAAUUAAAAAAAAAAAAAAAAGGAGUAAGAGUAAAGAUUGAGAUCGUACAAAAGCCGCUCUCGAGCAGCUACAAUCAAAGCCGGUGGUGCGAGACUAUUAAAAAGUUGCUACUCCCAGACAGUGUUAAAUGCUCUAACAUAAAAUUACAAUACUAUAUUACUCUAUGCCUUUUAUUUUAAUUAUUUUAUUAAACUAAAAUAUUAUAUAUUCUCAAACAUGUCGUAUUUACACAAGGGUAAUUUACCAUAACGACACAAUAUUUUAUUAAGCUGGUCAAUUAAGUGUUUUCGACAUAACUCUUGUCAAAAUACCGUGAAAUGCCAAAAUGCAGUACCUACAUGUGUUAUAAGAAAAAUUAAAUUGACUGUGACGGAAAAAUAAAAUCCAACCAUAAAGGGUUUAUACUAAAGUCGAAAGAAAAUGAAUAAAUAAUGAUAAACAUAUGUUUAAGAGUACAUUAGAGGAAGAUUGCACACGUACGGAUAUAUUUAGCGAGUGCGGUAUUUCUCGACCCACAUACUCACGAGAAGGCAGAAUGCCACGUAUGUCGGGGUCAUCCAGCUUGCAAACCUCGCGACAAAGGAAUUACUUUUGAUAUACUUUUGUAGUUUUGUGAGUUGACCAAAAAUUCUAAUCAUGAUAUACAAUUGCUUUUAACAAUAUAAUUCGUUGGCCACUCGUCACCUUGAAGCCAUGGCAACCUUUUUUUGCUUUUCUUUAUCUCCAUAUCGUCGUCUACUCUUUUAUCGUCUGUCUUAUAACUCUAUUCUAAUUUUUAUUAUAAUACCAGGUAACCGACUGGCUAUUAUAAUAAAAAUAAUAACUUACACAUUCUUACU
Long non-coding RNA from Cotesia glomerata, 1334 nucleotides. RefSeq lists it as uncharacterized. The transcript is spliced from 4 exons. The record is from RefSeq and is a predicted model, not a curated record. NCBI's taxonomy places the organism in Eukaryota, Metazoa, Arthropoda, Insecta, Hymenoptera, Braconidae.